GUGCCAUCGUAGACAUGGCCCACUCGGAUCAAAGUGUAGCAUCUGUUCUUAUUAGCUUAAUAUCUGAUGCGGGUUGUAUUUGGACCCAAGAUGAGCCAAGAACUUAUUUUUGCAAGUUAGCGGAGUGCUUGAAGCUUGCUUCAGCUCCGCCGCAGGUCGGCCCGUUGUUGCGCGAUCUUCGGGAUCGGCCCUCGCUUU
Dermacentor andersoni is the source of this 198-nucleotide small nuclear RNA. RefSeq annotates it as U2 spliceosomal RNA. The record is from RefSeq and is a predicted model, not a curated record. NCBI's taxonomy places the organism in Eukaryota, Metazoa, Arthropoda, Arachnida, Ixodida, Ixodidae.